Molecule: small RNA, 1160 nt
Filed under: Rattus norvegicus (Norway rat)
Lineage: Eukaryota; Metazoa; Chordata; Mammalia; Rodentia; Muridae
Description: uncharacterized LOC103690528
Source: RNAcentral
ACAUCUACAGUUUUUUCUUUUGUAGGCUUGCUGCAAAUGGAAUACAGCAGGCACUUUCAGAAGGGCGGAGAGGAGGGUAGGACAUCUCCAAAGCACUAUCACCCUUUGUCUUCCCAAAAUGCACCCACUCCAGAUAUAACCCACCCAUGGUAACAAAGCUGUGCGUGCUUAACUGAGAAACUGCGAGCCCUGUAGGCAACCUUGGUACUUGAAGAAAUGGGCAUAUUUUUAUAGAUUUCUACGAGGCAAAUAAUCCACACACUGCAGCAGCCUAAUUGCUAUCCACCCUUGUAUUGAGGGUGAAGGGAGGAGCAAUGAUCUUUUAUCUCAGGUUAGUUGAGUUCUCAUAGAUACGUUGGGACGCCAUUUUGUUGUGGUAAAUCUCCAACCACAAUAAACCCAUUCCAGGUAAAUGCAACUUUGUCUCGGUGAAAUUGCCAACCCCAAUAAGCCCAUGUAAGGAAAACGCAACUCGGUUGUAUAUUUAUAAACUGAACACCUAUAUUGGGAAGAUAUGUCUCUACACCACUUUCUUCCCCAGCUAUGAAAUCCCUAUUACUUGUAGUUUCUCUAGGCCACGUGCUUUUGUUCUAUCUUCCUUUCAACAACUCUCCCUCGGUCCUCCUUCCUUGAGGUCUCUAGCAACUCCUCCUCCUCCCCCCCUCCUCUUCCUGUCUUGACCGGAAAACCCGCCUCCUCAUUUUAGCCCAGCAGUUGGCUAUUUGUCAUCUUUCUUAGCCAAUCAGAUAAUUAAGGGAAGUUCCUCUACUGAUGGGUAUUACAAAGGCUCCACAAAAAUGAGGGAAACUUUCUACCCCUGAGCCACCUCUGUAAGCCUAAUCUAUUUUGGGAAGGGUUAAGAUUAUUUAGGAAGGUCCAGUAGACUCUUUUCUGUGGUAAGAGAAAACCAGAAGCUACUGCGGGCUCGCUCAGCAAAGCUGGUUUGAGUCUCAGUUUCUGGACAGUCACCUCCACUCGAGGCUUCAUAAAGUUGAAUGCAGAGUCUCACAGAUUGGCAGCAGCUCUGCUUCAUUUGAUGAACGUGGAAUAUGGCCUCUCUGCUGCUGUUUUUGACCAUGUGAUGGAUGACCUCAAAUUAAGCAUGCACAGGAGUUAACAACGCUCCCCAAGCAUGGAGCAGUCUUUCCUAUCAGAGUAGG